RNAcentral lists this ribosomal RNA (439 nucleotides) under Pyrenaearia organiaca. Its description in RNAcentral is "partial 16S ribosomal RNA". It matches the Rfam family "Archaeal large subunit ribosomal RNA", at positions 1903 to 2674 of the family's 2987-position model. The record is from RNAcentral. Lineage: Eukaryota; Metazoa; Mollusca; Gastropoda; Stylommatophora; Hygromiidae.
AAACAUUGCUUUAUGUUCUCUUAUAAAGUUAACCCUGCUCAAUGAUAUGUUAAAUAGCCGCAGUACUUUGACUGUGCAAAGGUAGCAUAAUCAGUUGACUUAUAAUUGAAGUCUGGAAUGAAUGGGAACAUGGGUAGUUACUGUCUCACCAUAAAUGAAUGAAUUUACUAAUUAAGUGAAAAUUCUUAUGACAAUAUAAUAGACGAGAAGACCCUAGAAAUUUUAUAUAAUUACAUCUUACGUAAACUAUUUUGUUGGGGCGACAGAACAACAUAAAACUUGUUUACUAUUAUUUGACCUUAUUGAGUAGUAUAAAUAAAUUACUCUAGGGAUAACAGCAUAAUACAAAAGAGUUUGUGACCUCGAUGUUGGACUAGGAAUAUUAUUGUUUAGAAGAUAAUAAUAUAGGCUCUGUUCGAGCUUUAAUUCCUACGUGAUC